Molecule: ribosomal RNA, 630 nt
Filed under: uncultured bacterium
Lineage: Bacteria
Description: bacterial SSU rRNA
Rfam family: Bacterial small subunit ribosomal RNA
Source: RNAcentral
GGGCAGCGGAGGCAGUAGCAAUACUGCCUGCCGGCGACCGGCGCACGGGUGAGUAACACGUAUGCAACCUACCCUUGUCAGGGGGAUAAGCCGGAGAAAUCCGGUCUAAUACCGCGUGACAUCGGGAUUCCGCAUGGGAUUCCGAUCAAAGGAGCAAUCCGGACAAGGAUGGGCAUGCGGCGCAUUAGCUAGUUGGCGGGGUAACGGCCCACCAAGGCGACGAUGCGUAGGGGUUCUGAGAGGAAGGCCCCCCACACUGGUACUGAGACACGGACCAGACUCCUACGGGAGGCAGCAGUGAGGAAUAUUGGUCAAUGGGCGCGAGCCUGAACCAGCCAAGUCGCGUGAGGGAAUAAGGUCCUAUGGAUUGUAAACCUCUUUUGUCGGGGAGCAAUGAGCGUCACGCGUGAUGCGUUGAGAGUACCCGAAGAAAAAGCAUCGGCUAACUCCGUGCCAGCAGCCGCGGUAAUACGGAGGAUGCGAGCGUUAUCCGGAUUUAUUGGGUUUAAAGGGUGCGUAGGCGGGGAGCCAAGUCAGCGGUAAAAUCGUGGGGCUCAACCCCAUCCCGCCGUUGCAACUGGUUUUCUUGAGUGGAUGAGAAGCAUGCCCAAUGCGUGGUGUAGCGGUGAA